UUGCUGUUUAUUGAUUCAUUGCUGGUUAUUGAUUGAUUUAUGCAAUUUGAUGUCAGUUCAAGUGAAAAUAUGGGCGACACUGGAUUUGGUGUUAAAACUGAAA
Molecule: non-coding RNA, 103 nt
Organism: Arachis ipaensis
Lineage: Eukaryota; Viridiplantae; Streptophyta; Magnoliopsida; Fabales; Fabaceae
Source: RefSeq, a predicted model, not a curated record